Molecule: long non-coding RNA, 584 nt
Organism: Hippocampus zosterae (dwarf seahorse)
Lineage: Eukaryota; Metazoa; Chordata; Actinopteri; Syngnathiformes; Syngnathidae
Exons: 2
Source: RefSeq, a predicted model, not a curated record
AGUAAGCGACAGGAAGCGCGCGCCACUUCCUUUCUUUAUGAGGACCUCGGCCGACUGAGAAUAUUUGGGAAUAUUUACAAGUUUGACCGCUCCUUGCACAUUUCCUGGAAUUCCACUCGUUGCGUCGCGAUGAGCAACACUGGUGGAUAUUUUUACACACAUUCACACACGGAGCGGCGACAGAGGAAUGAGUCAUAUCAAGAGGGGAGGACCCUACACACAUGCAAGCUAGCGUAGGAAGUACAUUCACAUAGGCCAUGAGUCACCUUGCUCAUGAUACAACCUUUAAUGUUUAUGUUUCUUAUUUCCAUGGAAACCACAAGUCAAGGGGAAGGAGACCCCCGGCUGGCCAGCAUCAUCAGAAUAUUAUGUCCGGUUCAUGGAAACGCGUUUGUACAGUACACCCGGGAGAUGAUAAACGUCGUGAUGUUGUCUUCCGGUUCAGAAAAUGACAAGAGCACACUACGGUACAGGUACCAGGGCGCUUCAACAUGGGUACAGGAUCGAACCCUCAACCUUGGACCACGACUCGACCUUGAGCCAGGUGUGAUUUACUUCCAAAUAAAAUUGUGCCUUCAAAGAAA